GUCAGCAUGGUGUAGUGGUUUGAACAUUGGACUGUGACUCUGGGCAGCAGGGUUCAAAUCCCUGCUCAGCCA
Phrynosoma platyrhinos (Desert horned lizard) is the source of this 72-nucleotide non-coding RNA. NCBI's taxonomy places the organism in Eukaryota, Metazoa, Chordata, Lepidosauria, Squamata, Phrynosomatidae. The record is from the annotation of a GenBank genome assembly.